Molecule: transfer RNA, 87 nt
Filed under: Trichonephila inaurata madagascariensis
Lineage: Eukaryota; Metazoa; Arthropoda; Arachnida; Araneae; Nephilidae
Description: tRNA-Arg
Rfam family: tRNA
About the family: Transfer RNA (tRNA) molecules are approximately 80 nucleotides in length. Their secondary structure includes four short double-helical elements and three loops (D, anti-codon, and T loops).
Source: RNAcentral
UUCAGGAUGGCCGAAUGGUUAUGGCAUCGGACUUCUGAUCCGAUUGAGAGACUGUUGUGUCUGUAGGUUCGAUUCCUACUCCUGAAC